GCAAGUCGAACGGAAGGCCCUUCGGGGUACUCGAGUGGCGAACGGGUGAGUAACACGUGGGUGAUCUGCCCUGCACUUUGGGAUAAGCCUGGGAAACUGGGUCUAAUACCGAAUAGGACCGCAUGCUUCAUGGUGUGUGGUGGAAAGCUUUUGCGGUGUGGGAUGGGCCCGCGGCCUAUCAGCUUGUUGGUGAGGUAAUGGCUUACCAAGGCGACGACGGGUAGCCGGCCUGAGAGGGUGACCGGCCACACUGGGACUGAGAUACGGCCCAGACUCCUACGGGAGGCAGCAGUGGGGAAUAUUGCACAAUGGGCGCAAGCCUGAUGCAGCGACGCCGCGUGAGGGAUGACGGCCUUCGGGUUGUAAACCUCUUUCGCCAGGGACGAAGCGCAAGUGACGGUACCUGGAGAAGAAGGACCGGCCAACUACGUGCCAGCAGCCGCGGUAAUACGUAGGGUCCGAGCGUUGUCCGGAAUUACUGGGCGUAAAGAGCUCGUAGGUGGUUUGUCGCGUUGUUCGUGAAAACUCACAGCUUAACUGUGGGCGUGCGGGCGAUACGGGCAGACUUGAGUACUGCAGGGGAGACUGGAAUUCCUGGUGUAGCGGUGGAAUGCGCAGAUAUCAGGAGGAACACCGGUGGCGAAGGCGGGUCUCUGG
RNAcentral lists this ribosomal RNA (657 nucleotides) under Mycolicibacterium gilvum. RNAcentral describes it as "bacterial SSU rRNA". It matches the Rfam family "Bacterial small subunit ribosomal RNA", at positions 57 to 732 of the family's 1533-position model. The record is from RNAcentral. Lineage: Bacteria; Bacillati; Actinomycetota; Actinomycetes; Mycobacteriales; Mycobacteriaceae.